Molecule: long non-coding RNA, 888 nt
Filed under: Homo sapiens (human)
Lineage: Eukaryota; Metazoa; Chordata; Mammalia; Primates; Hominidae
Description: non-protein coding lnc-GPAT4-5:1
Source: RNAcentral
AGGCCCCGCUCCCCAGGCCUCGGCCGGCGCGGACCCCUGGUUGCCCCGGGGUCGAGAGCAGCCGGGGAGAGCUGAGUUCAGAGCCCAGAGUUGGACAUCAGGCCACACGCUGAGAGGGGCCCCAUGCUGCUUAGUGGCCGAUUUGCAGGGAAUCUGGGCACAAUCUUAAUAACACCAGGGCCAAAAAUAACAACGUUCCUGGGAACCGAGCAGCUGGAGCGCACCCCAUGGACGCUGGGCCAUCUCCCCGGGGACUAGUGCCUGACAGAGCUGACAGAGUUCUAGGCCACAUGUGGGCUAGAAGGAACCGCCAUGUCUACCACAGCACAGUCCUUAAGCAGGAGCCUUUUGAAGCACUUGGACUCAAAACAAUGGCUGUUUGUUGUUGUUGUUGUUGUUGUUUGUUUGUUUUGAGGGAGCCAGAAAGCUAAAAAAUGUAAAAGAAGCAGGUCACAUUAGACAUGAUUUCAGACAGCCUCCCCGAAGGACAGAUGAUCUCACUUGGCAACACAUACUGGGCCAGGCUCACUCAUGAGGGGGCAGCGUGGCAUGCACCCCACUCAGGGGCAAGAAUGAAGCUUAAAUAUUAGCUGACUCAGAACAUAGCAAGUGCUCAGUAAUGGCUUCUGGAACGAACCCGUGGUUGUCACCAGCAGGAGUGACGAAAGCUAGAAGCCGUUUCACCAUCCAAGGAAGAGGAGGAACAAUAUUUUUCUCUUUGGAGUUCCCACACUCAGAAGAGAGAACACCAGCAUAUGAACACAGAGUGUCACAUGAUGUAGGAAACAUCCUGUAGGUAGAGAGUAUAAUUCCAAAGCUUAGGAUCCUGCUAGUUCCUUGUGCAGUGCUUCCGGUGGGCAACAUGGUGCCUCCCCAGUCCCUCAGGCU